RNAcentral lists this transfer RNA (71 nucleotides) under Candidatus Izimoplasma sp. HR2. RNAcentral's name for it is "Candidatus Izimaplasma sp. HR2 tRNA". It matches the Rfam family "tRNA". Rfam says of the family: Transfer RNA (tRNA) molecules are approximately 80 nucleotides in length. Their secondary structure includes four short double-helical elements and three loops (D, anti-codon, and T loops). Lineage: Bacteria; Bacillati; Mycoplasmatota; Mollicutes; Candidatus Izemoplasmatales; Candidatus Izemoplasmataceae. The record is from Rfam by way of RNAcentral.
AUUGGUCUCGUCUAACGGUAAGACAGGAGCUUUCAAACCUCAAGAUAGGAGUUCGACUCUUCUGACCUUUG